This is a long non-coding RNA of Lolium rigidum, 1178 nucleotides long. RefSeq lists it as uncharacterized. Lineage: Eukaryota; Viridiplantae; Streptophyta; Magnoliopsida; Poales; Poaceae. The record is from RefSeq and is a predicted model, not a curated record. The transcript has 5 exons.
UCCUCGGGGGUGCCGCUCGACGCGGCCGUGAUGGCCGGACGAAGCGCGCUCACGACCUGCAGGAGCUCGCCACCCAGGAACACCUAUCGCCACGCAAAGGUCGAAGUUAAUUUUCCCCUGUUCUCUCGCUAGAAUCGACACCAUCCACCCAAUCUUGUAUGUGGGCGUAUUUGCAGAGCUGCUGCUGCAGGAUACAUUGCUUUAGUUAACUCUAGAUUUUCAUACUAGUGCUGCAUGCGUGGCUCAAAUUUCCACUGGAUAUACAUAUGAAGAAAUUUUCGCACCUACAGGAAAUUCACCUGGGUUUGCAUGGACGUUCGUUGUAGGUGUCCCUGGCAAGAGUGCAAACCAGCCCGUGAGUUCACUGCGGCAGCGGCAUGCUAUGGCAGCUGGUGGCCAUCGUCUUCAACUCCAUGGGCUUUGGGAAUAAGUGGAUGUGCAGCUGGCUAUGAGGUAGUCAUGGCCGCCUGAUCUGGCUGGCAGUGGCGGCCUUCUUCUUCGACUCGGCAGGUUUAGAACCUCAAGCUCUUUGGAGCUGAUCUGGACCACUAGUUCAACAAAGCAGUUUAAUUUCUGGAAUAAGUGGAUGUGCAGCUGGCUAGAAGGUAGUCAUGGCCGCUGGAUCCAGCCGUCUGGCAGCUGUGGCCCUCUUCUUCGAAUUGGCGGGUUUAGGCAGGGGAGGUUGUUGCAGGCUUGGUCUUGUGCGGCUCUGGCCGGUCCACCGCGUCCCUCGCUGACUACAUUUGACUAGCUACUGCUAUCACGAGACUUGAUGGCAUUCCCUCUGUCCUCGGUUUUCUGGUAAUGGACAGAAGAUCAAGACUUGAGUUAACCAGCUUAAUUAGGACCCGGAAAUAGGUAGCGGUAGCCUUUUUGUAUGCCUCUGUGUUUAGGUGAGUUAAUUUGUGGUUCACCCAUUGUAUCGUAUACGUGCUCCAUGGCCAUUGAGCAGCCUGUGACAUGCUAAAUGGUAGUGAUGACUAGGUUUUGGCUAUAACACAGAUAAGUUGUGCUUGCGCGUUUUUUUUUUGUUUUUUUUUUGCGGGUAGUGCUUGCGCUCUUGAUAUUUGGUAUUCUGAGUGGUUUGAUUGUUGAAUUAUAUACCUGCUGCUGGUGGUACGUACUAGUCAACUUAUUGAUUUCCAGUAAGAUACAUUAAUGGUGGGCUGUUGAAUUUU